UAUUGCUCUUAAACGAGGAAUCCCUAGUAAGCACAGUCAUUAGCUUGUGCUGAUUACGUCCCUGCUGUACACACCGCGUCGCUACUACCGAUUGAAUGGCUUAGUGAGGCCUUCGGAUUGAGGUUUGGAGACUGGCAACAGACUCCGGAGAAGUUGGUCACUUGGUCAUUUAGAGGAAGUAGUCGUACAGGUCCGUAGGUGAACCUGCGGAAGGAUCAUUACCAAUAGCGAACCUGAUCUGAUCAUGGUCUCGCGACUGUAUACACUCUUAUUAUAUGAAUCUGUAUACAUAGAUCACUUUCAACAACGGAUCUCUUGGCUCUCGCAUCGAUGAAGAACGUAGCGAAGUGCGAUAAGUAAUGUGAAUUGCAGAAUUCCGUGAAUCAUCGAAUCUUUGAACGCAAAUUGCACUCUCUGGCAUUCCGGAGAGUAUGCCUGUUUGAGGGUCAGUAUAAUCAAAAUCGGAGCGAUGCUUUUUGGGUGACGCACCGGAGUUUGGGUCAUCUUAACUCUUUUUUUUAAGAGACCUAAAAUUAACAUUCUUUUUUGCUCACUUUGAGACGUACAUAAUUUUUUUUUAUUCGUCUACCCUGGUGGCAAAAAUUUUAUUAGAUCGUGAAUCACGUAUAGUGGUCUCGCGUCUAUAAUUAUCAUGAUUUGACCUCAAAUCAGGUAAGAAUACCCGCUGAACUUAAGCAUAUCAAUAAGCGGAGGAAAAGAAAAUAACAAUGAUUCCCCUAGUAACUGCGAGUGAAGAGGGACAAGCUCAAAUUUUAAAUCCGUCGGGUUUCACCUGACCGAGUUGUAAUUUGAAGAGGCGUUUUCCGCGUUUUUGAUCAGUCCAGUCCUUUGGGAUAGGGCAUCAUGCAGGGUGAGAAUCCCGUUCGGCUGAUCAGAUUCGCUCUACGAUACGUCAUCUAGAGUCAAGUGUUUGGGAUGCAGCUAAAUGCAGUAAUUUCUCUUAUGCUAAUACCGGCGAGAGACGAUAGCGACAGGUACGUGAGGCAUGAUGAAAGACUGAAAGAAAGUUAACGUACUGACUGUGAUGAAACGAUGAGUAGUCGUACGCGGUAAUCAGCCUUUCGGCGUGAUUAUGUGGAGCGUGAGGAGUUAAACGCCUUCAUGGCCUGCAUAUUCGUGUUCUUUGGGUGUACUUACCCGCAUGGUAGGUUAACAUCAAUUUCGAACGUCAUAAAAUGGUUGGAGGAAUGUAGCUUCGAUCUCGUAUUGAAGUGUUAUAGACUCCGGCAGAUGUGAUGAUCGGGAUUGAGGAUUGCAACGGAUACCCUUCGGGGCUACCCGUCUGAUCUCUGAAAGUUGCUCUGGUGCCGAAAGCUCGCUUACGGUCAUCAAAGUUGACGUUCAACAGGUUAGAACGGGAUAAAUUCGUUAAGGAUGUUGACGUAAUGGCUUUAAACGACCCGUCUUGAAACACGGACCAAGGAGUCUAACAUAUAUGCGAGUGUUC
RNAcentral lists this ribosomal RNA (1468 nucleotides) under uncultured Glomeromycotina. RNAcentral's name for it is "eukaryotic LSU rRNA". The stretch from base 659 to 1468 matches the Rfam family "Eukaryotic large subunit ribosomal RNA", at positions 1 to 695 of the family's 3401-position model. Lineage: Eukaryota; Fungi; Glomeromycota. The record is from RNAcentral.